This 420-nucleotide ribosomal RNA is filed under the name uncultured bacterium. Its description in RNAcentral is "bacterial SSU rRNA". It matches the Rfam family "Bacterial small subunit ribosomal RNA", at positions 355 to 775 of the family's 1533-position model. The record is from RNAcentral.
UGGGGAAUCUCGCGCAAUGGGCGAAAGCCUGACGCAGCGACGCCGCGUGGGGGAUGAAGGGCUUCGGCUCGUAAACCCCUGUUGCCCGGGACGAACUUCUGGUUUCGACCAGAUUGACGGUACCGGGUGAGGAAGCACCGGCUAACUCCGUGCCAGCAGCCGCGGUAAUACGGAGGGUGCGAGCGUUGUCCGGAAUCACUGGGCGUAAAGGGCGCGUAGGUGGCCCGGCAAGCGUGCGGUGAAAGUUCGAGGCUCAACCUCGAAUCGGCCGUGCGAACUGCUGGGCUGGAGCACUGUAGAGGCAGAUGGAAUUCCGGAUGUAGCGGUGGAAUGCGUAGAGAUCCGGAAGAACACCGGUGGCGAAGGCGGAUCUCUGGGCCAUUACUGACGCUGAGGAGCGAAAGCGUGGGGAGCGAACAG